Molecule: ribosomal RNA, 253 nt
Filed under: uncultured bacterium
Lineage: Bacteria
Description: partial 16S ribosomal RNA
Rfam family: Bacterial small subunit ribosomal RNA
Source: RNAcentral
UACGGAGGGAGCUAGCGUUGUUCGGAAUUACUGGGCGUAAAGCGCACGUAGGCGGCGAUUCAAGUCAGAGGUGAAAGCCCGAGGCUCAACCUCGGAACUGCCUUCGAUACUGCGGGUCUCGAGUCCGGGAGAGGUGAGUGGAAUUCCUAGUGUAGAGGUGAAAUUCGUAGAUAUUAGGAAGAACACCAGUGGCGAAGGCGGGUCACUGGAUAGGUACUGACGCUGAGGCGCGAAAGCGUGGGGAGCAAACAGG